GGACUUCGGGUUGUAAACCUCUUUCGCCGGGACGAAGAGGACGGGACUAGAACACCAAGGGACGGGUGGCUCCGCGCCAGGAGAACCCGGGAUAACUA
RNAcentral lists this ribosomal RNA (98 nucleotides) under uncultured bacterium. Its description in RNAcentral is "partial 16S ribosomal RNA". The record is from RNAcentral.